This is a long non-coding RNA of Tachysurus fulvidraco (yellow catfish), 1235 nucleotides long. RefSeq lists it as uncharacterized. The record is from RefSeq and is a predicted model, not a curated record. The transcript is spliced from 2 exons. NCBI's taxonomy places the organism in Eukaryota, Metazoa, Chordata, Actinopteri, Siluriformes, Bagridae.
UAAUUCACGCAUGCGCAGUAUCAACAGGUCGCGAUCACAGUUCUCUCAGCACAACAUGUCAGUUCAGUGUACAGGAGUUACAUAUAACUCCGGGAUAUUAGUUUAUUUAGAGUCGGACCGACUGUCAGACGACCGAAAGUGUGUAACUUUAGUAACUUGUGGAUCAGCGCUGACUCAAGAACGAAUCAGUCACUAAAAAGAACCGGUUCAAAAGAACGAUUCGUUCACGACCUGGCCAUCACUAUUGGAGAGGUCACGCUUGUCUGUCUUCAAAACGCCACAGCCCUGGUCAUGAAUACGGAGACGAUUUAAUCACACAUUGAACAUUCAGUAAGUAACCUUCGACCCAGCGUCUUUUUUCUUAAGAGCUGCUGGUGGUACACAACUGGUGAAAAUUUCUGGAUGUGAUCAGAAGACACCAACACAAUGGAAAAAGUUUCUAUCAGACGGAACAAACAAAGGGAGACUGGCAGAACUCCUCUAUCCUGCGUGGUGAGAUGCUGAUCUUACCACUGUGGGCAAGGACUUAAGCUUGUACAUCGCACAUGGAGACCUGUGUGACCGUAAUGCACCGUAUAUACUAACUCUCAGUGCCGUCGAUGAUCUGACAUGUGAUCAUUAGGAAUGUGACACCAGGCUGUUUUUACAUGCACAACAUGCUGCCAAUGAACAUCAAACUGUAGUCAUCAAGAGCCCUGAUACUGAUGUGGCAGUGAUUUGCUUUAAGUCUGCAGCCAGAUUUACCGUGUAGGUCGUAUCUUUUCACAAGGUGUCAUCAGCUUGGCACCAGGGUGUUUUGGCCCUUAUUGGGAUCCAUACCUUUUCAGCUUGUUACUCUACAAGUGCCUUUUAUGGCAUUUUCUGAUUUCAUAUUUUAAGCUUAUUUUUCGUUGUAAUGAAUCUGUUGUUAAUUUUUUGCCUUAUUCGUAAUGGGGGGGGGGUCGCAUUUUGAGUGAUUUCAGAAAACUUGGGACAAAGUGUGCUGCUUGUUUAUGUUUCUGUGAUUACACAAUGCCUACUGAAAAUGUUGAUGUAUAAUACAUCAGUGUGUAUGUUUAAUUUUGUUUGGUGCCAAAUCCAUGAAAUUAACACAUUUCCUACAAAUUUUAUUCUAUGGUCUACAUUCACACCUGAGUGUUUAAUGCACCAAUACAUUUCUCAGAUUGAGAGAGAUUCGAUGUUGCUAAAAUGAAAAUAAAUAAAGUUAUAAGCAAAACCAGCAGCAUUAAGCAUAA